UACGUAGGGGCUAGCGUUAUCCUGAAUUACUGGGCGUAAAGGGUGCGUAGGUGGUUUCUUAAGUCAGAGGUGAAAGGCUACGGCUCAACCGUAGUAAGCCUUUGAAACUGGGAAACUUGAGUGCAGGAGAGGAGAGUGGAAUUCCUAGUGUAGCGGUGAAAUGCGUAGAUAUUAGGAGGAACACCAGUUGCGAAGGCGGCUCUCUGGACUGUAACUGACACUGAGGCACGAAAGCGUGGGGAGCAAACAGGAUUAGAUACCCUGGUAGUCCCUGAG
Molecule: ribosomal RNA, 276 nt
Filed under: uncultured prokaryote
Description: partial 16S ribosomal RNA
Rfam family: Bacterial small subunit ribosomal RNA
Source: RNAcentral